UCUCCGUUGGUGAACCAGCGGAGGGAUCAUUACCGAGUUUACGACUCCCGAACCCCUGUGAACAUACCAUUUGUUGCCUCGGCGGUGCCUGCUUCGGCAGCCCGCCAGAGGACCCAAACCCUUGAUUUUAUACAGUAUCUUCUGAGUAAAUGAUUAAAUAAAUCAAAACUUUCAACAACGGAUCUCUUGGUUCUG
RNAcentral lists this unclassified non-coding RNA (195 nucleotides) under plant metagenome. RNAcentral's name for it is "partial contains small subunit ribosomal RNA, internal transcribed spacer 1, and 5.8S ribosomal RNA". The record is from RNAcentral.